AAGUCGUAACAAGGUUUCCGUAGGUGAACCUGCGGAAGGAUCAUUAACAAGUCCGUUGUGCGUGCAGAAGCAAUUUUGCAUGCGCACAUCUGUUCCAUGCACAUUCAUUUGUGCAUGACAUUUCUGCGAAUCGUCUGAUUGUCAUUCGACUAAUUCAUAUAUAA
RNAcentral lists this unclassified non-coding RNA (164 nucleotides) under plant metagenome. Its description in RNAcentral is "partial contains small subunit ribosomal RNA and internal transcribed spacer 1". The stretch from base 1 to 46 matches the Rfam family "Eukaryotic small subunit ribosomal RNA", at positions 1786 to 1831 of the family's 1831-position model. The record is from RNAcentral.